RNAcentral lists this non-coding RNA (63 nucleotides) under Streptomyces yokosukanensis. The record is from RNAcentral. Lineage: Bacteria; Bacillati; Actinomycetota; Actinomycetes; Kitasatosporales; Streptomycetaceae.
AGGCGAAACCCCUUCGGGGGUCGGGGCGGGGUGGUGCCCGCUUCCUGACGAUGCCAGCCGCAU